This 358-nucleotide long non-coding RNA is filed under the name Ananas comosus (pineapple). RNAcentral describes it as "long non-coding RNA (ACOM_LNC026458)". Lineage: Eukaryota; Viridiplantae; Streptophyta; Magnoliopsida; Poales; Bromeliaceae. The record is from RNAcentral.
AAUGGGUAUAGAAACUAAAAAUUUUAUCAGAACUCGAACCGAAAUGAAGCGAAUUUAUUCGAUACUAAAUAGAUAUAGUUUUGGAUAUGAAUAUAAAAAAAUAAAAAUCCGACAGAUUUAGAUUGGGUAUAACAUUUGUCUUUAUCCGACCUGAAUUUGAAUUAAUUUUACACUAUAUAUAUGUUUGAUUUCAUAUUUGAAUUUGUAUUUUAAAAUUUUCUAUUUGACAUAAUACAUUUUGAAAUAUAGUAAGAAAAAAUAAUUAAUUCAAGUUUGGGUUUUUAGGUUUUAAUUCAAAUUUUGAAUUUGAUAAUUGAUUUUAGAUUCAGAUUUUUAAAAAAUUCGCCCCGAAUCCGAC